AUACUUACUUGGUGGAGACUGGCCAAGAAGGUGAUAUCCCCAGGGUAAUGCUCAUUCACUGUACUUGGGAUGUACCAAUCCUUCUAAUUUCUCCAAAUUUGGGAAACUUGACUGUAUAAUUUGUGGUAGUGGAGGAGUGCACUUUCA
RNAcentral lists this small nuclear RNA (147 nucleotides) under Peromyscus maniculatus bairdii (prairie deer mouse). RNAcentral's name for it is "U1 spliceosomal RNA (ENSPEMG00000004590.2)". It matches the Rfam family "U1 spliceosomal RNA". From Rfam's summary of the family: U1 is a small nuclear RNA (snRNA) component of the spliceosome (involved in pre-mRNA splicing). Its 5' end forms complementary base pairs with the 5' splice junction, thus defining the 5' donor site of an intron. The record is from RNAcentral. Lineage: Eukaryota; Metazoa; Chordata; Mammalia; Rodentia; Cricetidae.